RNAcentral lists this long non-coding RNA (454 nucleotides) under Salmo salar (Atlantic salmon). RNAcentral's name for it is "lncRNA (ENSSSAG00000102758.1)". The record is from RNAcentral. Lineage: Eukaryota; Metazoa; Chordata; Actinopteri; Salmoniformes; Salmonidae.
AGCAUUCUAUAGUGUACUACAACAUCAAUCCAGCUGAAUAUGGCUGUUGUGUUGGUUGAAUGUUCCAGGCAGGUUCCAGAAUGUUCUUCAGCUGGUGAUCCUUGUAUGGGGAAUGGAAGCUGGUUUAGAAAGGCUGUGGCGAUGUUGGCAGGGAUGUUGGGUUUGGGGGGGCUGUGACUCUGACUCCUUGAGGACAACCAUCUGGUCCUUUCUGCACUCCACAGUCAGGUGGACAACCGUCUGGUUCUGUCUGCACUCCCCAGCCAGGUAGACAACAGUCUGGUUCUGUCUGCACUCCCCAGCCAGGUAAACAACCGUCUGGUUCUGUCUGCACUCCACAGCCAGGUAGACAACCGUCUGGUUCUGUCUGCACUCCACAGUCAGGUAGACAACCGUCUGGUUCUGUCUGCACUCCACAGCCAGGUAGACAACCGUCUGGUUCUGUCUGCACUCC